ACUAAUGACGGUACCUGAAGAAGAAGCACCGGCUAACUACGUGCCAGCAGCCGCGGUAAUACGUAGGGUGCGAGCGUUAAUCGGAAUUACUGGGCGUAAAGCGUGCGCAGGCGGUUCCAUAAGACAGAUGUGAAAUCCCCGGGCUUAACCUGGGAACUGCGUUUGUGACUGUGGGACUCGAGUGUGGCAGAGGGGGGUGGAAUUCCACGUGUAGCAGUGAAAUGCGUAGAGAUGUGGAGGAACACCGAUGGCGAAGGCAGCCCCCUGGGUCAACACUGACGCUCAUGCACGAAAGCGUGGGGAGCAAACAGGAUUAGAUACCCUGGUAGUCCACGCCCUAAACGAUGCGAACUAGGUGUUGGGGAAGGAGACUUUCUUAGUACCGCAGCUAACGCGUGAAGUUCGCCGCCUGGGGAGUACGGUCGCAAGAUUAAAACUCAAAGGAAUUGACGGGG
RNAcentral lists this ribosomal RNA (455 nucleotides) under uncultured bacterium. RNAcentral describes it as "bacterial SSU rRNA". It matches the Rfam family "Bacterial small subunit ribosomal RNA", at positions 465 to 918 of the family's 1533-position model. The record is from RNAcentral.